AGCUGCCAAGGAUUCUGGGGUUCUGUCCAUCAGCUCAGCAGGUGUUCCAGAGAAGGAAGAGUGUUGCAGCCUACUUCCUACCCACAAUCCCCUGCUCCACACAGAACAUGCCCCCUCGCCCACCAUUGGCUGGUCGGCUGCCCUUCCCACACCUCAUUGCCUUACAGGUCCAACACACUCUCACAGGGUCAGAGUGUGUGUUCUCGUACGGCUCUGCUG
This is a long non-coding RNA of Osmerus eperlanus (European smelt), 219 nucleotides long. RefSeq lists it as uncharacterized. The record is from RefSeq and is a predicted model, not a curated record. The transcript has 3 exons. Lineage: Eukaryota; Metazoa; Chordata; Actinopteri; Osmeriformes; Osmeridae.